This 254-nucleotide ribosomal RNA is filed under the name uncultured bacterium. Its description in RNAcentral is "partial 16S ribosomal RNA". It matches the Rfam family "Bacterial small subunit ribosomal RNA", at positions 524 to 776 of the family's 1533-position model. The record is from RNAcentral.
UACAGAGGUGGCAAGCGUUGUUCGGAAUUACUGGGCGUAAAGGGCGCGUAGGCGGUCUUUUAAGUCUUGUGUGAAAUCCCUCGGCUCAACUGAGGAACUGCACGGGAUACUGGAAGACUUGAGUUCGGGAGAGGGAAGCGGAAUUCCGGGUGUAGCGGUGAAAUGCGUAGAUAUCCGGAGGAACACCGGUGGCGAAGGCGGCUUCCUGGACCGAUUACUGGCGCUGAGGCGCGAAAGCUAGGGGAGCAAACGGG